Xenopus tropicalis (tropical clawed frog) is the source of this 175-nucleotide small nuclear RNA. Its record names the gene U2. It matches the Rfam family "U2 spliceosomal RNA". From Rfam's summary of the family: U2 is a small nuclear RNA (snRNA) component of the spliceosome (involved in pre-mRNA splicing). Complementary binding between U2 snRNA (in an area lying towards the 5' end but 3' to hairpin I) and the branchpoint sequence (BPS) of the intron results the bulging out of an unpaired adenosine, on the BPS, which initiates a nucleophilic attack at the intronic 5' splice site, thus starting the first of two transesterification reactions that mediate splicing. Lineage: Eukaryota; Metazoa; Chordata; Amphibia; Anura; Pipidae. The record is from Ensembl.
AUAUUUUUCAAUAAAAAAAAAAUCUGUUCUUAUCAGUUUAAUAUCUGAUACGUCCCCUAUCUGGGGACCAUAUAUUAAAUGGAUUUUUGGAACAGGGAGAUGGAAGAAGAGCUUGCUCUGUCCACUCCACGCAUCGACCUGGUAUUGCAGUACCUCCAGGACCGGUGCACCUCUC